UGUGACAAAUAUGCAUCUCCCUCGUUAACGGGUAUGCAAACAAGCGAAAAUACAAUGCUUUCUUCCUGGAGAGCUUUGUAGAAUACAUAUAUCUCACAUUUAUGUGUGCUGUUAUGCAGAGUAAUGAUGGCAGAUACUGGUGUAGCAGGAGCUUGGCCUGAAGCCCGUGCCUGAUUCUUCUCUGUGUGAGGACUUGGUUCUUGGUUUGGCUGUGGGGAACAAAUUUGGAACUGUCGUCAACUGCAUGACUUCAGUUCAGGUUUAAAACCUUAUCUAGCUUAUUGUGAUUGUCUUGAUUAUGCCAUUAAAGAACUUUUAAGAUUUGUGUAUUAUGCCACUAAGACAUAUUACCUUCUCUGUGUUAAAAAGGCAUGUUCUGCUUAAACGACUCGGCCAACUACGGCUCUCAGUUGUAGUCUUCAUGGUUUUGUUCCUCCAUUCUUGGCACGUCCUUAUCUGCAAAUGAAUGUCAACCUUCCAUUACUAUCUGCCU
Molecule: long non-coding RNA, 493 nt
Filed under: Zea mays
Lineage: Eukaryota; Viridiplantae; Streptophyta; Magnoliopsida; Poales; Poaceae
Description: long non-coding RNA (ZMAY_LNC000111)
Source: RNAcentral